UCGGGAAUUUUGGGCAAUGGGCGAAAGCCUGACCCAGCAACGCCGCGUGAAGGAUGAAGUAUUUCGGUAUGUAAACUUCGAAAGAAUAGGAAGAAUAAAUGACGGUACUAUUUAUAAGGUCCGGCUAACUACGUGCCAGCAGCCGCGGUAAUACGUAGGGACCAAGCGUUGUUCGGAUUUACUGGGCGUAAAGGGCGCGUAGGCGGCAAUUCAAGUCAUCUGUGAAAUCUCCGGGCUUAACUCGGAACGGUCAGAUGAUACUGCUUUGCUAGAGUGCAGAAGGGGCAAUCGGAAUUCUUGGUGUAGCGGUGAAAUGCGUAGAUAUCAAGAGGAACACCUGAGGUGAAGGCGGGUUGCUGGGCUGACACUGACGCUGAGGCGCGAAAGCCAGGGGAGCAAACGGGAUUAGAUACCCAAGUAGUCCCUGAG
Molecule: ribosomal RNA, 429 nt
Filed under: uncultured bacterium
Lineage: Bacteria
Description: bacterial SSU rRNA
Rfam family: Bacterial small subunit ribosomal RNA
Source: RNAcentral